Molecule: long non-coding RNA, 5252 nt
Organism: Acinonyx jubatus (cheetah)
Lineage: Eukaryota; Metazoa; Chordata; Mammalia; Carnivora; Felidae
Exons: 5
Source: RefSeq, a predicted model, not a curated record
AACCCUUCUCAUAUAAUAGUUCCAUCACUCUUGUGUUAUUGAUGUCACAAAUUACAUCUUUACACAUUAUAUACCCGUUUACAUAGACUUAUAAUUAUGUUCUAUGCAUUUGUCUCACACACCCUGAAGUAGAGUUAAAUUCAAAGUAGAGUUAAAUCCAAAAUUAUAGAGGAUUAAAAAUUUUUCAGUCUCACCCUUUGAUUUCAGGAAAGGGAAAUGGGCUGGAGGUUGAAUGAAUGUCCAAUGAUUUCGUCAAUCAUGCCUAUGUAAAUGAAGCCUCCAUAAAAACCCAAAGGAUGGAUUCAGAGAACUUCUGGGUUAGUGACGUUGUGGAGGUGUCUAGAGAGGAUGGAAUGGGUCCUAUGCAUCUUCCAUCUGGCUGUUCUUGAGUUUUAUCUUUUUAUAAUAAACCAGUAACCUAGAAAGUAAAAUGUGUCUCUAAGUUCUUUUAGCCACAGUAACAACUUAAUGAAACCCAAGGAGGGGAUCAUGGGAACAUCUGAUCUCUAGCCAGUCCAUCAGAAGCAUAGGUGACAACCUGGACUUGGAAUGACAGCUGAAGUAGGGGCUGUCAAAAGGGGGGCAGUUUUGCAGGACUGAGCCUUUAACAUAUUGGACCUGACAGUCUUAGAAUUGAAUUCAUUGCUUGGUAGCAUUUGCAAAAAAUAAUCUUCCAAGAAGGACUUCCUUUAACAUUCUCUGUAGAACAAGUUUUGUAGUAAUGAACUCUCUCAGCUUUUGUUUUUCUGGAAAGUCUUAAUUUCUCUAUCACUUUUGAAGGAUAGUUUCUGGAUAGAGAAUUCUCAUUUUAAGUUUUGUUUUGUUUUGUUUUUGGUUUGUUUUUUCCCCAGCGUGUAUUAAAUAUAUCAUCCCACUGCUUUCUGGUCUGCAAGAGUGCUGCUGAGAAACUGGAGAAUAAUCUAUUAAGGAUCAUUUGUCUAUGAUGAGUUGCUUCACUCUUGUUGAUUUCAAGAUUCCCUUUGACUUUGGCUUUUGACAGUUUGAUUAUGUGACUUGAUGUGAAUCUCUUUUGGUUAUCCUAAAGUACGUUGAGCUUCUUGGAUUUGUAUAUUCAUGUAUUUCAUGAAAUUCAGGAUGUUUUCAGCCAUUAUUUCCUCAAAUAAGUCUCUGCUACUUUCUUUCUCUUCUGGGAUUCCCAUAAUUUAUAUACAGACAUAUUCUUUUUGCUUGUUUAUUGCACUUCACUUUAUUUUGCUUCGCAGAUACUGCACUUUUUAUAAAUCAAAGGUUUGUGGCAACCCUGCAUUGAGCAAGUCUAUGGGCACCAUUUUCCUAAUAGUAUUUACACACCUCGUGUCUCUGUCACAUUUUGACGAUUCUCACACUUUUGGUAAUUCAAACUUUUUCAUUAUUAUAUUUGUUAUGAUGAUCUGCAAUCAGUAAUCUGUGACGUUACUAUUUGUGAGUUUUGACGUGCCACACCACACGUGUGUGUUCUGACUACAGAUAAGGUAGAAACAGCAAGAGAACUAGAAUUAGAAGUAGAACCUGAAGAUGUGACUGCAUUGCUGCAAUCUCAUAAUAAAACUUUAGCAAAAGAGGGGGUGCUUCUCAUGGCCGCUCAAAGAAAAUGGUUUCUUGGGAUGGAAUCUAUUCCUGGUGAGAUGCCGUGAAGACUGUUAAAAUGACAACAAAAGCUUUAGAAUUUUACACCAAUUUAUUUGGCAAAGCAGUGGCAGGAUUUGAGGGGAAUGACUCCAAUUUUGAAAAAAGUUCUGAUGUGAGCAAAAUGCUAUUAAACAACAUUGCGUGCUACAGAGAAAUCAUUCAUGAAGAGUCAAUUAAUGGCCAACUUCAUUGUUGCUUGAUUUUAAGAAGUUUUCACAGCCAUUCUGACCUUCAGCAACCACCACCCUGGUCAGCCAGCAGCCAUGAACAUCAAGGUAAGACCCCUUAUCAGCAAAAAUAUUACUACUUGCUAAAAUAUCACUCACUCAAGUGAUGGUUUAUUUUUAGAAAUAAAGUAUUUUUUAAUUAAUCUUUAAAUUCUAUUUAUUUAUUUAUUUAUUUAUUGAGAGAAAGAGAGAGAGAGCACAUGCAGGGGAGGGUCAGAAGGAAGGAGAGACAGAAUUCCAAGCAGUCUCCACACUGUCAGCCGCAGAACCCGAUGCAGGGCUUGAACUCAUGAACUGCAAGAUCGUGACCUGAGCCGAGAUCAAGAGUCAGAUGCUUAACCAAGUGUGUUACCCAGGUGCCCCAUAAAUAAAGUAUUUUUUAACUUAGGUAUGUAUAUUGUUUUUUGUAGACAUAGUGCUAUUGCAUCCUUAAUACGCUACAGUGCAGUGUAAACGUAACCCCUAUAUACAUUGGGAAACCAAAAACAUUCAUUUGACUUGGUUUAUUGGGAUAUCCAUUUUAUUGCUGUGGUCUGGAGCUGAACCCACCAUAUCCUAGAGACAUUGCCAAUAUUGGUCUUCUUUUUUUUUUUUUUUUAAUUUUUUAAUGUUUAUUUAUUUUUGAGACAGAGACAGAGCAUGAACGGGGGAGGGUCAGAGAGAGAGAGACACAGAAUCUGAAACAGGCUCCAGGCUCUGAGCUGUCAGCACAGAGCCUGACGCGGGGCUCGAACUCACGGACCGCGAGAUCAUGACCUGAGCUGAAGUCGGCCGCUCAACUGACUGAGCCACCCAGGCGCCCCACCGAUAUUGGUCUUCUUGAUGGCAUCCCGCCUUUCUUAAGCACAGACCCAGUGAAGCCAUUUUCUCUGCCAGAAGGCUCCAGUGGGUCUUGGACCACGGGACAAAGAAUGACAAAUGCUCAGCAUGUGGGCGGCCGCUCCCACUCCUGGCUUGCAGGGCACACUUGUUCAAUAAAGCUGCUUUCAGCAGGGGAAACUUUCCAGCGUGGCUCUCCAGGUAGCCAAUACUUAGGCUGCUUUUCAUGUCUAAGAAAAGAAAUCAAUUCUAAAGAUAGACAACGAUGAGCAACUACUUAUCUGUGCGAUGGAGAUCAUGGCAGAGGCCAGAAGUGAGUAGAGUCGAAAAGAACUGGUGAACAAAACCUGAACUGGCUUCCAGCCGCUCCCUGCAGAGGCGCCCUGCACAAAUGCCAAAAAGCAGAGUGGAGUCCGACUGGAAGAUGGCUCGAGAGUUCCGUGAUUUUCUUCCAUCAGGGAAACGGCAAUAAAACUGGAAGCCACGGGCCAGAAGGCCCUGCAAGAUGUCUGGGGAAAAGCAGAUAAUGAGGGGAACUUGACUUGCACAUAUUAAUUCAAUCAGCAGAAACUGGAGGUUUUAGUCCAGGGUUCCAGACCUACCGGAAAGAGCAAUCUCUGUGAGCAGCUAUUUCCUGGCAUUGAAGAAUUUACAUGGAAAGUCAAGAGCGUCUCAUUUCCUGGAACUAAAGUGAGUACGUCCCCUACUAGGUUCCUGCUCACACAGUCUCAGAAGACCCUCUCCCGAAAUCCCACCAGACCUUCUCCCAGGAUGACCUAAAUGCAGACGGUCAGCUGGUACUCCAGGUUCCAAUCAGGGAAAACAACCGUACAACCUUCUACGGUAGCUUCUAGAAGGCAGCCAGUCUCCUUAUGAGCUUCUCUUUCACGGCGCCUAGAACCCAGCUCUCGUGGCGAGUGUGAGUGUCGGUGAAGAGGGCCAGCAGCCGGGGAGGAAGGCGGGCUGGUGACAGCAUUCUUCACCCGUGUGGUCAGAGUUCUUCCUGAUCUGUGCAAUCGCUUCUUGAUGUUCCAGACACAGGCCAGGAAGGCAAAAAGGAAGUGCAAGACACCAUCGCACCUAGAUUCCAGAAAGCUUUCGCUCCGUUUGGAUCAACUUGAGAGGACGCGCUAAUAAACAGGGUUUCCAGAGAUCCUGGGAAGCAGCCCGGAGACCGGAGCCGGGGCACCUGGCGGGAGCUUCAGCGCGCCUUCCUCCCUGGAACAGCGCUGUCACUUGGCACCGUUGUCCUGGCAAGUCAGCCCCGUUCACAGUCCCUCUGAUUGGUCAGCCCUGUCCUUCCAGAUACGCCUUUCUGACAUCUUGCCUCCACGGUGCUGCCUUGCCGGAGGGGGGUUCUCACCUGGGCUGUCACAGGGUCCAGCCUUCAAUCAGGAUGCUCCCCAGGUAUUUCCAAAUCACCAGGAGGAAACGUGGGCUGUGCUCCAAGCUGAUUCCUCCCACCCUCCCUCCCGUUCUUUCCUCUCUCGCUUCCUGUCUUCCUUCCUUUCCUCUGUCCUUUCUACCUUCCUGCCCCUUAUUUAUUGACUUCCUGCUAUAUGCGGGGCACUAAGCGUUUGUUAAUUACCUGGGGGUUAGGCUGAGCUCUUAGAUUUGAAGAUGAGGGAAACAGUGUUGAAAGCACCUAAAGGAGAAGAAAAUUUAUGGGGUGUGUGUUGCAUAAAUGCCCUUCGCUAAUCAGAAAGAUUGUGAAAUGAUUUGGACUUGAAUAAGUCGACGAAGGGGGCAGAGGGGCAAACGGCAAAGCUCGGAGACAGUAGGUGCAGGAAGAGUGAUAGCGCAAAAAUAAAUCCGCAGUGCAUAUCAAAUGAAUUUGUGCAGUGCUCCUCCUGUUCAUCCCGACCUGGGCCGGCGGCAAGGGGAGCAGAGAGAAAAGUGGAAAAGAUGCUCUGGGGAGGCGUCUUGCUUCGGAGCUGCUGACCGAUACACUACGUGUGGAUUCCCCGGGGAUUUCCAGGCGGGUGGCUGUGGAACAGGCAGAGGUUUAGUGGUUUCCCAGGAAGGAAUAAAUUUCCUGCAGUGAAUCACCCUGUGUCAAGGAGGAUUUUUGUGACAUCAGCUCCAAGCAGAUCAUCGAGGCUUUCCCACUCAAGAGGGCAUUGGAGCAUAACACCACCAUGGCCCACACUUUAUUUUUUCUUUCUUGUAUUUUCCAAAGGGCCAUUUGGACCAAAAGUGGCCUGUGGCCCCGGGAAACUCUGAGUAACGGCUUGGCAUCUUAGGAAUCUGUGUGUCGUGCUUUGUGGAAGAGUCUGGAAAGGUCUAGUUCUGUCUGGAAAACAAAACUCAUGGUUGUUAACGUGAAAGUGUAACCCUGCUUCUUCCUUUUCUUCUAAUAAAUGCUGCAAACUUGAAAUAAAAUGAAUUAGACCCCUUGGAUAUCCAGACAUAUCACUUAAAAUCACUUUGCUUCUAGUGAUCUAAUUAUAUCAACUUUGGAUUUUGGAUGCACAGUUGCAACGCUUUGCAAGUAUUUUCAAAUCCUCAAUAUUUUCCUUUUUUAUUCCCACUUUUAUUUUUUUCAGUGAAGGCUAACGUCUUCCAGCCGCAGGCUUG